RNAcentral lists this long non-coding RNA (1345 nucleotides) under Daucus carota (carrot). RNAcentral describes it as "long non-coding RNA (DCAR_LNC006795)". The record is from RNAcentral. Lineage: Eukaryota; Viridiplantae; Streptophyta; Magnoliopsida; Apiales; Apiaceae.
GCUCCUCCCCGGACUCGAGAUUUUCUUUACUAUAAAGAUAAUCCUUUACAGUAGGCGGAGAAGCCUUUAGAAAUAUAUAUCUUGGAGUGUAACUCCCCGUCACCUCCUCACUAUAAGUGUAAAAACAUACAAAGCUUGUCUCGGAACGUAACUUCCCUUUACUUCCUUAAAGGUGAUGUAGAAACCUUGUGUAGUCUUUGUACUUCUAAAUCUUUUGCUGGUCUUGAGUCUUAGAUAUUAGAUCUUGGGUCUUUCCUCUUCUUCACGGUGCAAUGAUUAUUAACUCCCCGUCAAUACUUCAAGGUCUUAGGUCUUACAACGAAGAUCAACUCACUUCACUUCACCUCACUGCAAAAGUUAGAAUACAAUAUCUACGAAAAUAUCCUUUGUUUUAAUAAGAUUUUUGGUCCGCAAUAUCAAUCCAAUAAUAACAGUUAAUUAUAUUGAUUCGUCGAUUAUAACAAAACUGACAGUGAUUAGUUCAACAAUUUAUAUCGCUUAGAAAAUAUAAAUAGUUGAUUUUAAUAUUGAGCACGUCACGAAGGAGGGCGCACUACUAGUAUGAUUAGGAUUGAUUUUAAUAACCUGAGCACACCACGUAUGGGCACACUACGAGAGUUAUAUCAAUUAGUGUUGAGUGAUUUAUAGAUAUAUGAUGCGGUCGAUAAUUACACUCACACACACGGGAACGAGAACCACUAAACUCGUAAGAUUAAUAUUUCCAUGAAUCACGUCACAUAUGGAAACGUUCACCAAAACGAGAAAGGGUAUGUUGGGCGUAGGGAUAUAUCAGUUAAGCACAGAUCACACGCACAACAAUAACUAACUUAUCACCUUUGGCCUUAUAUCCGGCUUUUCGUGCCAAGCUAGGCAAAGAUCCCUCCAAGUUUGGUGAGGAAAUCUCAAAGGAUACGACGCACAAGUAUAAGUGGCUAACUCGUGUGUUUUGUAAUCAAAGAGAACUUUAAAGAUGAAGAGAAUAUUUUUGUUCAAAAGCCCUUUGUCAAAAAUGGUCGGUUAAGACAUGAAUAGAAACGAAGCUAAAAAUAACCAGUUAUACGAUUUUUGCAAAAAGUUCGCCGGAAAAAUUCGUCGGAAGUUCGACCGGAUUUUGGCUUUGCACACGAACUUUGGGCAGACCUUCGGGAGGACAAAAGAAUGGUCUAAAAAUGAGCUAAGCGAGAUGUGGCUAGGUUGGGUGGUACGAAGCCUCUGCGUAUAAAACCUUGCGUAUAUAAUGAAGUAUAUGAAAAAUCAAAGGUUUUAAAGAUGAAGUAAAUAUGGUGGGUACUUGAAUAGACUUUGGGAGAGUGUUUAUACUGCAAAAUCUCAGCAUAUAUUUGGC